UUUAUUUGAGAGUUUGAUCCUGGCUCAGGAUGAACGCUGGCGGCGUGCUUAACACAUGCAAGUUGAGCGAUUUACUUCGGUAAAGAGCGGCGGACGGGUGAGUAACGCGUGGGUAACCUACCCUGUACACACGGAUAACAUACCGAAAGGUAUGCUAAUACGGGAUAAUAUAUUUGAGAGGCAUCUCUUGAAUAUCAAAGGUGAGCCAGUACAGGAUGGACCCGCGUCUGAUUAGCUAGUUGGUAAGGUAACGGCUUACCAAGGCGACGAUCAGUAGCCGACCUGAGAGGGUGAUCGGCCACAUUGGAACUGAGACA
This 317-nucleotide ribosomal RNA is filed under the name Clostridioides difficile. Its description in RNAcentral is "bacterial SSU rRNA". It matches the Rfam family "Bacterial small subunit ribosomal RNA", at positions 1 to 326 of the family's 1533-position model. Lineage: Bacteria; Bacillati; Bacillota; Clostridia; Peptostreptococcales; Peptostreptococcaceae. The record is from RNAcentral.